UACGUAGGGUGCAAGCGUUAAUCGGAAUUACUGGGCGUAAAGCGUGCGCAGGCGGCUCUGCAAGACAGAUGUGAAAUCCCCGGGCUUAACCUGGGAACUGCAUUUGUGGCUGCAUGGCUGGAGUGCGGCAGAGGGGGAUGGAAUUCCGCGUGUAGCAGUGAAAUGCGUAGAUAUGCGGAGGAACACCGAUGGCGAAGGCAAUCCCCUGGGCCUGCACUGACGCUCAUGCACGAAAGCGUGGGGAGCAAACAGG
Molecule: ribosomal RNA, 253 nt
Filed under: uncultured bacterium
Lineage: Bacteria
Description: partial 16S ribosomal RNA
Rfam family: Bacterial small subunit ribosomal RNA
Source: RNAcentral